RNAcentral lists this unclassified non-coding RNA (1832 nucleotides) under Hevea brasiliensis (rubber tree). The record is from RNAcentral. Lineage: Eukaryota; Viridiplantae; Streptophyta; Magnoliopsida; Malpighiales; Euphorbiaceae.
CAGGCUUAGAUGGACUAAUUAUCUGAGACCUGAUAUUAAGAGAGGAAAGUUCAGUUUGCAAGAAGAACAAACCAUUAUUCAACUCCAUGCCCUCUUAGGCAACAGGUUAUAUUUAUAUUCCUUCUUUUAGCUCUUUUUCUUCAAAAAUCCUGAAUUAAUUCUAGCAUUCAGAGAUUUUGAAACAAGAUUGGAUUUCUGCUUUUACCUCAAGAAGAUGCAUUACUAGUUGGUCAUGUCUCUACUUUUACUGGUUUCAAGACAAAAAUAAAGUUCGUUCACUACAGGAACAAACUCCUGUUACUGUAAUCUGUUUUUGAUGUAAUGGGCAUCUCUUAAUUAAUUAAACUCAUCUACUAACUAACCCAUCACCUACAUACUACAUUUUGAACUAUAGUUUCAGCUGUUGAGCACAUAUUUACGGGUUUCUGACAUAUCCAAUCCGAUUUCAUUUAUUGCGUAUCUUUAAAUGCUUAGUAUAUAUUUGGAAAUUUUCUUCAAUACGACACAGAAAAUGAGGGGCUUUUGUUUUCCUUUAUCUUCCUAUUGUCCAUCCAGCAGCUGAUAUAUUGGGAUAGGUUUUAUUUUUCCCUUUUUUUUAUUUCUGUCUUUUCAGAAGCAUAGGAAAAAUGCUAGCUUGGGAUCGAUGGUUGAUCAUUUCUAGGGUAUUUAUCGUCUUAAAGAUCUGUCUCCAUUAUGUCUUUUGUUGGCUUGUCCUCAGGUGGUCGGCUAUAGCUACUCACUUGCCCAAAAGAACAGAUAAUGAGAUCAAGAAUCACUGGAAUACCCACAUCAAGAAAAAGCUGAUUAAGAUGGGAAUUGAUCCAGUUACACAUGAGCCUCUCCAUAAACAAGAAAACCCAGGAGCAGCAGCACCUUGUCACAACAUUAUGUAUGAUCAUCAACCCAAUUUUAAUGGUGAUCACCAACAGAUAUCAAACAAUAAUUGCGAACCCCAAGCCUCCUCCUCCUCGUCUAAUACCACCCCAACUGAAUCAUCAGACCCAAACAACGACGAUGAUCCUUUGAUGAGUUACAUAUUUUCAGACACUUAUCUUGAAGAUUCAACAUGGAAUUUUCCCAUCGCUAGAGAAGAAUAUUGUGAAUUUGGAAUGUCCUCACCAGAGGGUAACUCUCCAUGGUUUUUAGCUCAUAAUGAUAUUGGAGAUGACUACUUUGGACUUGGCCGUUUCAACGACGUGGACUUGAGUGUGCUAGACCAGCCGGAUGACAAACACUAACAAGGAACCAGGCCUUGGGGGCUUCGUCGUAAAUGGAAACUCAAUCUUCUUCCUGAUUUUCAACUUCUUAGACUUUGUUUUAUUUCCCUUCUUUUUUCCCCCACCAAACGCAUAAGUUUAGAUCCUGGAAAAGAUCAAUUUCACAAGAGAAAGGAAUUAAAUUUAAUUGAAACUGCUCAAAAUGAAACCCUUGGAAUGGAGACCUGUAAUUAGUAAAAGCCCCGAAGUUUUUUCAAGGAAAAAGUUAAGCUUCCGGUGAAGGAUGGGUUGGUAAGCUGUCAAGUAGCCCAAAUUGUGAAGAUAUCGUAUCAUCUGUCAUCAUUUAUCAUAAUCACACGCUUUUCCAAAGCAGUCCAAAAUCGAUCCUUAAAAAUACUUUAAAGCGUGUAGUUUUGUCUUUUGCUUAUGUUUGGUUGUAUAAUUACAAGAUUAUGUCCCUAAUCUACCAUGUGAGAGCUCAAAUACGUCUGUUAAUUAUCUUUAGCACCCCACUAUUAAAAGAGUUGAGUGGUGGAAGCAGAGGAAUCUGUCGGUAUGCAAAAUGAGAAUUCUACCGUAUAAGCAUGAUUAAUCUGAGUAUUGGAAAGCUUAUUU